Molecule: long non-coding RNA, 698 nt
Organism: Scleropages formosus (Asian bonytongue)
Lineage: Eukaryota; Metazoa; Chordata; Actinopteri; Osteoglossiformes; Osteoglossidae
Source: Ensembl
GUUAGGAUGAAGACCUGGUUUGGGACCAUGUUAUACAUGAUUUUACUCCGUUUGAAAGCUCCCCUUGCUUCAGGAAAUCACAUUUCAAACAUUGAAUAUCAUAGAGAAGAAAUGCUUGAAAUUGAUGACAUGAUUGAGGAGGGCACUGAUCCUUCUGCUGUAAUGCAUCGUGCCAUGCAAAAACUAGAGUUCAUUCCGGAGAGAGUCUGUACUGAAGGCCCCGCAACUAUAAUAACCAAUGUUUUAGCAGCACAACUGCACAAGGCUGGUGUGGACUUUGCUGGCCUGGAUAUUUAUGCCAGUCUGAGAAAUGUGUCCACAUAUCAAGAUGAGGUGAAGAACAUCUCAGUCCAUGUUCAGCUACCCAAAUCUGUCUUGGGUCCUCAAGACUAUGACAAGAUCAUACAAUUCUGCUUGAUCACGUUCCCCAACCAGACUGAGGUUCUCUACGGUCAGUUGGUGGGACUGGACAUCAGACACACACGAAUCUCAGGGCUAACUGACCGUAUCAAUAUCACAAUGAUGUUGAAUAGGCCCUCAGCCCUUCUAGAGGUACGAACAAAGAUCGCACUGCAAAUCCUCCACCCGGGUGCUACGUACAGACAGACAGAAACAAUUGCUCCUAAACCCUGAUUCGAUGUUAUUUUUUUUUGUCUACAGAAGGAAAAAGUGCCACAGUGCAACUUUUAUAAUUUCAC